This 524-nucleotide ribosomal RNA is filed under the name Vishniacozyma heimaeyensis. RNAcentral describes it as "partial large subunit ribosomal RNA". It matches the Rfam family "Eukaryotic large subunit ribosomal RNA", at positions 58 to 588 of the family's 3401-position model. Lineage: Eukaryota; Fungi; Basidiomycota; Tremellomycetes; Tremellales; Bulleribasidiaceae. The record is from RNAcentral.
AAAGAAACUAACUAGGAUUCCCUUAGUAACGGCGAGUGAACCGGGAUGAGCUCAAAUUUAAAAUCUGGCGUCUUUCAGGCGUCCGAGUUGUAAUCUAUAGAGGCGUUUUCCGCGCCGGACCGCGUCCAAGUCCCUUGGAAUAGGGUAUCAAAGAGGGUGACAAUCCCGUACUUGACGCGACGACCGGUGCUCUGUGAUACGUUCUCAACGAGUCGAGUUGUUUGGGAAUGCAGCUCUAAAUGGGUGGUAAAUUCCAUCUAAGGCUAAAUAUUGGCGAGAGACCGAUAGCGAACAAGUACCGUGAGGGAAAGAUGAAAAGCACUUUGGAAAGAGAGUUAAACAGCACGUGAAAUUGUUAAAAGGGAAACGAUUGAAGUCAGUCGUGUGGGAGGUAUUCAGCCGUCUCUGGCGGUGUAUUUGCCUCUCACGGGUCAACAUCAGUUUGAUCCGGUAGAAAAAGGCGGGAGGAAGGUGGCACCCUCGGGUGUGUUAUAGCCUCCUGUCACAUGUGCCGGACCAGACUG